UGAGCAACCUGCCCCUGGCUCUGGGAUAACCCCGGGAAACCGGAGCUAAUACCGGAUACGAGACCGAUUGGCAUCUUUACGGUCUGGAAAGUUUUUCGGCCAGGGAUGGGCUCGCGGCCUAUCAGCUUGUUGGUGGGGUAACGGCUCACCAAGGCGACGAUCCGUAGCUGGUCUGAGAGGACGAUCAGCCACACUGGGACUGAGACACGGCCCAGACCUCCUACGGGAGGCA
RNAcentral lists this ribosomal RNA (232 nucleotides) under uncultured bacterium. Its description in RNAcentral is "partial 16S ribosomal RNA". It matches the Rfam family "Bacterial small subunit ribosomal RNA", at positions 118 to 350 of the family's 1533-position model. The record is from RNAcentral.